CCUACGGGAGGCAGCAGUGGGGAAUAUUGGACAAUGGGCGAAAGCCUGAUCCAGCCAUGCCGCGUGUGUGAAGAAGGUCUUCGGAUUGUAAAGCACUUUAAGUUGGGAGGAAGGGCAUUAACCUAAUACGUUAGUGUUUUGACGUUACCGACAGAAUAAGCACCGGCUAACUUAUGUG
RNAcentral lists this ribosomal RNA (178 nucleotides) under uncultured bacterium. RNAcentral's name for it is "partial 16S ribosomal RNA". It matches the Rfam family "Bacterial small subunit ribosomal RNA", at positions 338 to 507 of the family's 1533-position model. The record is from RNAcentral.